RNAcentral lists this long non-coding RNA (1519 nucleotides) under Macaca fascicularis (crab-eating macaque). Its description in RNAcentral is "lncRNA (ENSMFAG00000051634.1)". The record is from RNAcentral. Lineage: Eukaryota; Metazoa; Chordata; Mammalia; Primates; Cercopithecidae.
UUUUUUUUUUUUUUUUUAGACUGAGUCUCCCUCUGUCACCCAGGUCAGAGUGCAGUGGUGCAAUCUCAGCUCACUUCAAACUCCGCCUCCCAGGGUCAAGUGAUUCUCCUGCCUCAGCCUCUGGAAUAGCUGGAACUACAGGCACAUGCCACCACGCCUGGCUAAUUUUUGUAUUUUUAGUAGAGACAGGUUUUCACCAUGUUGGCCAGGCUGGUCUUGAACUCCUGACCUCAAAUGAUCCACCCGCCUCAGCCUCCCAAAAUGCUGGGAUUACAGGCCACUGCACCCGGCCAAGCAUAGCAUCUUAAAGGGGAGCUUCAGAUGUUGUGACUAGGAAUAUAAACUAGUGCUGUAUCUUUAGUCUCUGGCUAAUCAUUCCUUUUGGCCCAACCACUGGGAGGCUGGGAAGUGCGGUGUUUUAGGAUGAGGGUGACAUCUGGAUGAGGGCCAGGGCUGGGAGGAAGCAGGAAGGAGGAGGGUGAGACUGACACAGCCUCCUCUUUGGGAGUUAGUCAUUCCCCCUGGCUAGUGAGAGACACCAGGAGUGGGAAGGGGAGGGGGCCAUUCUCCUGGGUCCUAGAAGUUGGUGCCAGGGCAGGCUGGGCCACCAAAGGGGAUGUUCUUAGGAAGCCCAUCAUCCUGACAGCUUUUCUAAACUCCCACCAUGCGCUGGCUCUGCUCCAUGCUUAGCCCUGCAGGGACGGGGGAGAGGAUGCCGCUUUCUGGGGGUGGAACCUGUACUCAUGAACCAUAGUAGACUGAGUGUGGUGUCCUGGUUCAGAGCACCACAGCAGCCCUGGCUAGAGUCCCACUUCACCACUCAUUGGUUCCAGGGCUUUGGGCAGGCUGUUGAAGCUCUCUGAGCCUCAAUGUCCUCAUCUGUGAAAUGGAGUCAAUAAUGCUGUCUUCUGAGGUUUAGGGUAAGGGCACAGUGGAAUGAUUUGUGUCACAUGUUUGGCACGUAGUAUCCACGCAGAAGGACUAGCGCUGGGAAGUCAGAGGCAAGAGCAAGCCAGCCCAGCCCUCCCAUCUGAGAGCCCUCCCAUCGGCCUUGCCAUACACCGUACAGAAGCCUUUUCCCAUCCGCCAGCAGGUCUGAGCCUCAUUCCAUACUUAUAAGGUGGCAGGGCAGAUGCUUAGGAAGUCCAGGGGUUGUUCACAGCCACGCAGUGAUGAAAGUGGCCUGGAACUGUGGGAGUUGGCCAGGUGAGCCUGGUACCUGCACACAGGCGAAGGAGAGGCAGUGGGGUCUGAGCCGUGUAGAGCUCCUGCUCACUCUUUGCUGGCCAGAAAGCCGGGAACAAUAGCCAGGACCAGUCCAGGGCUGGCCAGGGCAGUAGAAAAGCUCUUCAGCAGCAGGCAGAUGGCGUGACCAACCCCUCUGGCCCUCUCUCAACUCCUUGAACAAUCAAAGCCACUGCGUUCCAUCUUCCCAGAUGUACAGAAGUAGUGCCACAAAGGCCCUAGGCCCCCCAGCCUAAGGAGGGCCAGGCUCUCCCACGAGCUCCACAUCUGAUCC